This 443-nucleotide ribosomal RNA is filed under the name uncultured bacterium. RNAcentral's name for it is "partial 16S ribosomal RNA". It matches the Rfam family "Bacterial small subunit ribosomal RNA", at positions 338 to 795 of the family's 1533-position model. The record is from RNAcentral.
CCUACGGGGGGCAGCAGUGGGGAAUAUUGGGCAAUGGGCGCAAGCCUGACCCAGCAACGCCGCGUGAAGGAAGAAGGCUUUCGGGUUGUAAACUUCUUUUUUCAGGGACGAAGAAAGUGACGUUACCUGAGGAAUAUGCCACGGCUAACAACGUGCCAGCAGCCGCGGUAAUACGUAGGUGGCAAGCGUUAUCCGGAUUUAUUGGGUGUAAAGGGCGUGUAGGCGGGAGCGCAAGUCAGAUGUGAAAAUUCAGGGCUCAACCCUGAGAUUGCAUUUGAAACUGUGUUUCUUGAGUGCUGGAGAGGCAGUCGGAAUUCCGUGUGUAGCGGUGAAAUGCGUAGAUAUCACGAAGAACACCGAUGGCGAAGGCAGCUUACUAAACUGCCACUGACGUUGAUGCUCGAAAGUGUGGGUAGCAAACAGGAUUAGAUACCCGAGUAGUC